AAUAUUGCGCAAUGGGGGAAACCCUGACGCAGCAACGCCGCGUGAAGGAUGAAGGCCUUCGGGUCGUAAACUUCUUUGAUCAGGGAUGAUAGUGACAGUACCUGAACAACAAGCCACGGCUAACUACGUGCCAGCAGCCGCGGUAAUACGUAGGUGGCGAGCGUUGUCCGGAAUUACUGGGGGUAAAGGGCGUGUAGGCGGGAAUGCAAGUCAGAUGUGAAAUACCGUGGCUUAACCACGGGGCUGCAUCUGAAACUGUGUUUCUUGAGUGUCGGAGAGGAAAGUGGAAUUCCCAGUGUAGCGGUGAAAUGCGUAGAUAUUGGGAGGAACACCAGUGGCGAAGGCGACUUUCUGGACGAUAACUGACGCUGAGGCGCGAAAGCGUGGGGAGCAAACAGG
RNAcentral lists this ribosomal RNA (399 nucleotides) under uncultured bacterium. RNAcentral's name for it is "partial 16S ribosomal RNA". It matches the Rfam family "Bacterial small subunit ribosomal RNA", at positions 360 to 776 of the family's 1533-position model. The record is from RNAcentral.